AAAAAAUGCGUUGACCAUAUAUCGAUACGUUUUACUGUUAUACAAUUAUAUUGUAAGAUUAUUUCAAAGUUUCCCAGAGGUUGCCACGAGCUCUUGAAUGCUCGUCAAUCAGUUAUUGGUUAGGGAUGAAAUAGGUGUUGUGUUAUUUCUUUGUCCCUCUGUUCUUUCUUUUUCUUUUGCUGUUAGCAUCCUUUGUAUCAAAAGAAAUUCUCCAAGCACCA
This 221-nucleotide long non-coding RNA is filed under the name Ricinus communis (castor bean). RNAcentral's name for it is "long non-coding RNA (RCOM_LNC000017)". Lineage: Eukaryota; Viridiplantae; Streptophyta; Magnoliopsida; Malpighiales; Euphorbiaceae. The record is from RNAcentral.